CUUCGGAGCCUUUGCACAGGUGCUGCAUGGCUGUCGUCAGCUCGUGCCGUGAGGUGUUGGGUUAAGUCCCGCAACGAGCGCCAACCUUAUCGUUAUUUGCCAACACGUAAUGGUGGGAACUCUAACGAGACUGCCGUGGGUUAACCAGGAGGAAGGUGAGGAUGACGUCAAGUCCGCAUGGCCCUUAUGUCUGGGGCUACACACGUGCUACAAUGGUCGGUACAGAAGGCAGCGAAGCCGCGAGGUGGAGCAAAUACCCAAAAAGCCGAUCUCAGUUCAGAUUGUAGUCUGCAACUCGACUACAUGAAGACGGAAUUGCUAGUAAUGGCGAGUCAGCAACAUCGCCGUGAAUACGUUCCCGGGUCUU
RNAcentral lists this ribosomal RNA (367 nucleotides) under uncultured Parachlamydia sp. RNAcentral's name for it is "bacterial SSU rRNA". It matches the Rfam family "Bacterial small subunit ribosomal RNA", at positions 1019 to 1382 of the family's 1533-position model. Lineage: Bacteria; Pseudomonadati; Chlamydiota; Chlamydiia; Parachlamydiales; Parachlamydiaceae. The record is from RNAcentral.